RNAcentral lists this ribosomal RNA (257 nucleotides) under uncultured prokaryote. Its description in RNAcentral is "partial 16S ribosomal RNA". It matches the Rfam family "Bacterial small subunit ribosomal RNA", at positions 524 to 782 of the family's 1533-position model. The record is from RNAcentral.
UACGUAGGGGCUAGCGUUAUCCGGAAUUACUGGGCGUAAAGGGCGCGCAGGCGGUAUAUCAAGUCAGCUGUCAAAGACUGGGGCUCAACCCUGGUAUGCGGUUGAAACUGAUAUGCUGGAGUGCUGUAGAGGCGAGUGGAAUUCCCAGUGUAGCGGUGAAAUGCGUAGAUAUUGGGAAGAACACUGGUGGCGAAGGCGACUUGCUGGGCAGCAACUGACGCUGAGGCGCGAAAGCCAGGGGAGCAAACGGGAUUAGA